RNAcentral lists this long non-coding RNA (237 nucleotides) under Elaeis guineensis (African oil palm). Its description in RNAcentral is "long non-coding RNA (EGUI_LNC068761)". Lineage: Eukaryota; Viridiplantae; Streptophyta; Magnoliopsida; Arecales; Arecaceae. The record is from RNAcentral.
GGGGCCCUUUAUAUAGACGGACAGCAUAACUGAUCGACAGCGACGUCUGUAACCACCUGGUAGUGGGUCAUUCAGAGCCACGUGGAGUUUGUUAUGGAGAGUGGAGUGGUGUCCAUUAUCGUGAUUUGCCAGAGAGUGGUGGGGCCACAUGAAAUCUGUUAUAGAGAGUGGAGUGGGGUAGUGGCCAUUAUCGUGACUUGCCAGAGAGUUCGAGCCUGAUGGCUGAAGCUCGGUUGG